UUGCAGACAAUUAAGCCGACCAGCUUUUGCCUCAAUCAGAAGGUGGUGUGCAAUGUCUGCAGACAGUGACUUCCCUGGUUGUGUAUGUGCUUUGUUUGGUUCCCAUACAAAGUGCUCUAAGGGACCUCGGAGACAUUG
Molecule: small nucleolar RNA, 138 nt
Organism: Bombina bombina (fire-bellied toad)
Lineage: Eukaryota; Metazoa; Chordata; Amphibia; Anura; Bombinatoridae
Product: small nucleolar RNA SNORA70
Exons: 1
Source: RefSeq, a predicted model, not a curated record